UGGCGGCGUGCCUAACACAUGCAAGUCGAGCGGGGGUUAUUGAGAGCUUGCUUUCGAUAACCUUAGCGGCGGACGGGUGAGGAACACGUGGGUAAUCUGCCCUUUGCAGAGGGAUAACGUCAAGAAAUUGACGCUAAUACCUCAUAAGCUCCCGGCACGGCAUCGUGGCGAGAGAAAAGAUUUAUCGGCAAAGGAGGAGCCCGCGGCUGAUUAGCUGGUUGGGGAGGUAACGGCUCACCAAGGCGACGAUCAGUAGCCGACCUGAGAGGGUGAUCGGCCACAUUGGAACUGAGACACGGUCCAAACUCCUACGGGAGGCAGCAGUGGGGAAUAUUGCGCAAUGGGGGGAACCCUGACGCAGCAACGCCGCGUGAAGGAGGAAGUAUUUCGGUAUGUAAACUUCUAUCAGCAGGGAAGAAGGAAGUGACGGUACCUGCAUAAGAAGCCCCGGCUAAUUACGUGCCAGCAGCCGCGGUAAUACGUAAGGGGCAAGCGUUAUCCGGAUUUACUGGGUGUAAAGGGUGAGUAGGCGGUUCGGCAAGUCAUAUGUGAAAUACCUGGGCUCAACCCAGGAACCGCAUAAGAAACUGUCGGACUUGAGUACAGGAGAGGUAAGCGGAAUUCCCAGUGUAGCGGUGAAAUGCGUAGAUAUUGGGAAGAACACCGGUGGCGAAGGCGGCUUACUGGACUGAAACUGACGC
RNAcentral lists this ribosomal RNA (701 nucleotides) under uncultured bacterium. RNAcentral's name for it is "bacterial SSU rRNA". It matches the Rfam family "Bacterial small subunit ribosomal RNA", at positions 37 to 746 of the family's 1533-position model. The record is from RNAcentral.